GUGCUUGCUUUGGCAGCACAUAUACUUAAAUUGGAAUGAUACAGAGAAGAUUAGCACGGCCCCUGCGCAAGGAUGACACGCAAAUUUGUGAAGCGUUCCAUAUAAAC
RNAcentral lists this small nuclear RNA (107 nucleotides) under Sarcophilus harrisii (Tasmanian devil). The record is from RNAcentral. Lineage: Eukaryota; Metazoa; Chordata; Mammalia; Dasyuromorphia; Dasyuridae.